AAGUCGGCAAAACGGAUCCGUAACCUUGGGAUAAGGAUUGGCUCUGAGGACUGAGCCGGUCGCGCUGGGGACCUGAAGCAGGAACGGCACUGCACCGGGACUGGGCGGGGCUCGCCGUUGACGCGGCGCGGCCAAGCCCGGACCAGCGUCGGGACCUUCCUGUGGAAAGCCUCAGCUGCGCGGCGUCCGAGGGCUUCGUGCCCAAAGUGCUAUGCUUCGGCCGGCAAAAAACAGUCAACUCAGAACUGGCACGGACCGGGGGAAUCCGACUGUCUAAUUAAAACAAAGCAUUGCGAUGGCCGCUGGUCGGUGUUGACGCAAUGUGAUUUCUGCCCAGUGCUCUGAAUGUCAACGUGAAGAGAUUCAUCAAAGCGCGGGUAAACGGCGGGAGUAACUAUGACUCUCUUCCCUGCUAAUUUUUACAGCGCGUAGUUACCAAUAUUUGGCCAAAUUAACUGUUUUUUGCUA
This 468-nucleotide ribosomal RNA is filed under the name Ixodes scapularis (black-legged tick). Its description in RNAcentral is "eukaryotic large subunit ribosomal RNA". It matches the Rfam family "Eukaryotic large subunit ribosomal RNA", at positions 1911 to 2281 of the family's 3401-position model. Lineage: Eukaryota; Metazoa; Arthropoda; Arachnida; Ixodida; Ixodidae. The record is from RNAcentral.